RNAcentral lists this ribosomal RNA (273 nucleotides) under uncultured Staphylococcus sp. RNAcentral's name for it is "partial 16S ribosomal RNA". It matches the Rfam family "Bacterial small subunit ribosomal RNA", at positions 89 to 354 of the family's 1533-position model. Lineage: Bacteria; Bacillati; Bacillota; Bacilli; Caryophanales; Staphylococcaceae. The record is from RNAcentral.
ACGUUAGCGGCGGACGGGUGAGUAACACGUGGGUAACCUACCUAUAAGACUGGGAUAACUUCGGGAAACCGGAGCUAAUACCGGAUAAUAUUUCGAACCGCAUGGUUCGAUAGUGAAAGGUGGUUUUGCUAUCACUUAUAGAUGGACCCGCGCCGUAUUAGCUAGUUGGUAAGGUAACGGCUUACCAUGGCGACGAUACGUAGCCGACCUGAGAGGGUGAUCGGCCACACUGGAACUGAGACACGGUCCAGACUCCUACGGGAGGCAGCAGAG